This 253-nucleotide ribosomal RNA is filed under the name uncultured bacterium. RNAcentral describes it as "partial 16S ribosomal RNA". It matches the Rfam family "Bacterial small subunit ribosomal RNA", at positions 524 to 776 of the family's 1533-position model. The record is from RNAcentral.
UACAGAGGGGGCAAGCGUUAUUCGGAAUUAUUGGGCGUAAAGAGCUCGUAGGCGGCUUGUUGCGUCGGUUGUGAAAGCCCGGGGCUUAACCCCGGGUCUGCAGUCGAUACGGGCAGGCUAGAGUGUGGUAGGGGAGAUCGGAAUUCCUGGUGUAGCGGUGAAAUGCGCAGAUAUCAGGAGGAACACCGGUGGCGAAGGCGGAUCUCUGGGCCAUUACUGACGCUGAGGAGCGAAAGCGUGGGGAGCGAACAGG